GUGGUUUUAGUUUAUGUGGUAAAAUAUCUCACUGUGAAUGAGAAGAACAGGGUUCGAAUCCCGAGAUCACCCCA
RNAcentral lists this transfer RNA (74 nucleotides) under Tenacibaculum jejuense. RNAcentral describes it as "tRNA-His". It matches the Rfam family "tRNA". From Rfam's summary of the family: Transfer RNA (tRNA) molecules are approximately 80 nucleotides in length. The record is from RNAcentral. RNAcentral also lists the same sequence under 1 other name. Lineage: Bacteria; Pseudomonadati; Bacteroidota; Flavobacteriia; Flavobacteriales; Flavobacteriaceae.